Molecule: ribosomal RNA, 2904 nt
Filed under: Triticum aestivum (bread wheat)
Lineage: Eukaryota; Viridiplantae; Streptophyta; Magnoliopsida; Poales; Poaceae
Description: partial small subunit ribosomal RNA
Source: RNAcentral
AUGCGGGAGGAGGUCAGGAGCUCGUCGGGGGCGGCGGCCGAGCCGCAGUUCGCCGUCGUCCGCUCGUCGUCGCCGCCGCCCACCCCGGUCGCCAGUUCUGCUGGUGCCUCAUCACCUGCUAUGCAAAUUAAUAUAGUAAGCAUAGAUUGGUUGGGUAGCAGACAAGCUUCCAGGGUUGAUUCCUCGUCACAUGUUGCACCACAUGCCUAUGGGCCUGCUCAUAGCUUUGAUGCUGCUGGAACUGCUUUGGAUUCUGCACCAUCUUGUAGACCAUGGGAGCGUGGAGACUUACUUCGUCGACUGGCAACAUUCAAACCUUCAACUUGGGAUGCUAAGCCGAAGGCUGCCAGUUCAUUGGUUUGUGCUCAAAGAGGCUGGGUAAAUGUUGACAUGGACAAAAUUGAAUGUGAAUCAUGUGGUGCGCAUCUUUUAUUCAGUGCAGUGGCAUCCUGGUCCCCAACUGAAGCUGUGAAACCUUUCUUUUUGUGUUCUGUAUUAGUUACAAAUGCUGGAGAAGCCUUUGCGGGGCAGCUUGAUGCAUCACACAAGAAUAGCUGUCCCUGGAGGGGCAAUAGCUGUGCUGAUAACUUGGUUCAGCUCCACCUUACACAGUCAGCGCUUAUUGGAGGUUUUAAAGAUCGAUGUGAUGGACUUCUACAGUUUCUCUCUCUUCCUGUGAUUGCUCCAUCUGCAAUUGAGAACAUGAGGUUGACAAGGGCUGCUCAGAUUAACCGCCUAUUAACCCAAUCGAUUAGCUUCUUAUCUGGGGAGCUGGGUUACAAAGCUGAGAAUACACCAGGAGUUGACAUCCAUCAAGGUUCAUCUUGUGGCUACUCAAGAGCGCAGAAGCUUAUAAGUCUUUGUGGAUGGGAGCCUAGGUGGCUUCCAAAUGUUCAGGACUGUGAAGAAAAUUCAACCCACUCAGCUAAAAAUGCACUUUCAAAUGAACCAGAUGAAAUGUUCUAUUCCCCCCUUGUUGAACAUCAGAAAAGUUCAUUCUCUGCAUCAGCCAAGAAAGAUAAAGGAAAAGGCAAAAGGCCCCUCAAAGAUUCGGGGUGCAGCAUGAGCUCACCUUUAUUAGAUUGUAGCCUGUGUGGAGCUACAGUUAGGAUCUGGGACUUCAGAUCUGUGUCACGUCCUAAUCGUAUUAGUCCAAAUAACACUGAUGCACCAGAAACAGGCAAAAAGCUAACACUGACACGUGGAAUUAGCGCAGCCAGUGGGAUCAACGGAUGGGUUAAUGAUGGGGCGGUAAGAGAUCAAGCUGAAGGACGUGAUGAAGCAGCAACUUAUGAGGGGAAAUUAGUAUCAAAUGCUGGAGUAGACCUUAAUCUAUCGAUGGCUGGAGGACUACCGCCACUUCAUUCUUCAAUGGCUGUUGCAUCUGAGUGUUGUAAUGGAGGGAUGGGAAGAGAUCUGAUGAUUGCGCAGCCCGCUGGAAGUGAAGUUGGUGAUCGUGCAACAUCAUAUGAGUCCCGGGGUCCAAGCUCGCGGAAGCGUAACCUUGAGGAAGGUGGGAGCACAGCUGACAAGCCACAAGACGGGGUUCGACAUGCUGACAGCAUAGAAGGAACUGUCAUUGAUCGUGAUGGUGAAGAAGUUGACGAUGACGUUCAAGAUUCAGACACCAAGAAUAAAAAACCGCGCGGAUUCAACUUUUUUGAUGCCAAUCUUCCAUCUUCUUCUGGAGCUGGUCCUAGUAGAAACUUGGGCUUUGACUUGGAUGUGGAUAUUAGUAUGUUCGGUCACUCUAGAGCUGUUGGUCUAGCUCCUGUUGAGCAUCCGUCUGCUAGAGAUUCUAUGAGGGCCUCUUCUGUUAUCGCAAUGGAUGUUCGCAGCGCUGACGAAGAUUCGAUGGAGAGUGUUGAGUAUCAUCCAGAUGCUGGUAUAGAUAUUAAUAUGCCUUCAUCUAGUGGACACAGGAAUAUUGAAAUGAAUGAUGCCUUUGAUCUCAACGAUAGCAACCAAGCACAGCAAAGUGCUUGUGCACAACCUGCUGCUGGAAGUGACGGAAGGGAGAUAGGAGGAAGCAGUACUAAUGAAGGGGAGGAAGUCCUUAAUGCAGGCACAACUCCUGCUUUUGCAAGGGAUCAGCUUAGCUUAGGAAUUAGUGGUGGAAGUGUUGGCAUGGGUGCUAGUGACGAGGCUGAAAUUCAUGGCAUUGAUGUAUCUGUGCAAAGAACCGAGAGUGGUGUAGGUGAUGCAGAACCUAUUACUGACCUUACUGAGACAAUGGGCCAUACCGGUGAAUCAGUUCCAGGGCCUGGAUUGAUGGAUGAGUUUGUACCUGAAGAAGUUGAUCGGGAAGAACCUCAUGGAGACAGCCAAGAUAUUGUGUUCCGUUCAGCAGGCCGUGCUGACAGUGGAUCAAAAUAUUUUGGUUCUAAUAAAGCUGAUUCUGGUGAGAGUGGAAAAAAGAUAGGACAUGCCAUUGGUCAUGAAAGCAGCAUGCAUCCUUCUCUCUCUUGCAAUGCUGGGGUGUAUGCCGGCUUCGAUGCAUCUAAAGAGGAAGUGACACAGGCUGGCAAAGCAGUGACUACUGAUGAUCAAGGCUUGCAAUAUGAUCUGCGGAAUGGAUUAGGAGCAACAAAUGGAGAAAAUGACUAUGAACCAGGUCUUCCAGAUUUUGAUCCUGUUAAGCAUCACAACAGUUACUGCCCAUGGGUCAAUGGAAUUGUUGCAGCCGCUUGCUGUUAUGAUACUAGUUCCAGCUCAGGCAGUUCAGAACUUUCUGGCUGGCAGCUAACUGUUGAUGCACUUGAUACAUUCCAGUCUCUUGGUCAAUCUCAGAAUCAAACUAUGCGGUCUGAAUCUGCGGCCUCGCUAAACAUGGAUGAUCAAGCAGCUUCUAACCGCAAACUGGCUAGGAGGACUUCGGUGAACAAAAGCCAUGGGAAAUGUUGA